CUUGGUCAUUUAGAGGAAGUAAAAGUCGUAACAAGGUUUCCGUAGGUGAACCUGCGGAAGGAUCAUUAUUGAUUUACCAUACUUUUGUGAACAUUUAAUUACGUUAACGUAUCAUAUCUUUUAAUUAUAACUAUCAACAACGGAUCUCUUGGCUCUCACAUCGAUGAAGAACGCAGCGAACCGCGAUAUUUUUUGUGACUUGCAGAUGUGAAUCAUCAAUCUUUGAACGCACAUUGCGCAGUAUGGUAUUCCGUACUGCACGGAUGGAAGAGCGUGUUCCCUUUGGGAUCGCAUUGCUUUCUUGAAAUGAAUCUAUUACUUCAAUAUACCUCAUUUCACCUCUUUCAUCCGAGAUUACCCGCUGAACUUAAGCAUAUCAAUAAGCGGAGGAAAAGAAACCAACAGGGAUUGCCUCAGUAACGGCGAGUGAAGCGGCAAAAGCCCAAAUUUGAAACCCUCGGGAUUGUAAUUUGAAGAUCUGGCAUUGGAGAAAGCUAACCCAAGUUACUUGGAAUAGUACGUCAUAGAGGGUGACAACCCCGUCUGGCUAACCGUUCUCCAUGUAUUGCCUUAUCAAAGAGUCGAGUUGUUUGGGAAUGCAGCUCAAAGUGGGUGGUAAACUCCAUCUAAAGCUAAAUACUGGUGAGAGACCGAUAGCGAACAAGUACUGUGAAGGAAAGGUGAAAAGAACUUUGAAAAGAGAGUGAAAUAGUAUGUGAAAUUGUUGAUAGGGAAGGAAAUGAGCGGAGAGUGGUUGAGGUUUCACUCGUCCCUUGGGGCGAGGUACUGCCGACGCCGAGUCAUUGUCAGCGAGACAGGGGUUAUAAACGGGUUACACUUGUGUUUCUCACCUAACCCCUUUACUGCCGACAACGACAUAAUCCGCCCAUUUCA
Molecule: small RNA, 894 nt
Filed under: uncultured Yarrowia
Lineage: Eukaryota; Fungi; Ascomycota; Dipodascomycetes; Dipodascales; Dipodascaceae
Description: eukaryotic LSU rRNA
Rfam family: Eukaryotic large subunit ribosomal RNA (bases 335-894)
Source: RNAcentral